This 134-nucleotide non-coding RNA is filed under the name Mycolicibacterium rutilum. Lineage: Bacteria; Bacillati; Actinomycetota; Actinomycetes; Mycobacteriales; Mycobacteriaceae. The record is from RNAcentral.
GCAAGAUCAUUUCCCGAUAGGCGACGGCGAACCGAGGAAGCCGGUGUGAAUCCGGCGCGGUCCCGCCACUGUGAUCGGGCGGUCGAUGCGAUGCGGCCCGAGAGCCAGACACUCCUCAUCGUCGCCUCCUCACG